CGGGCUGUAGCGCAGUGGUAGCGCACACGUCUGGGGGGCGUGUGGUCGCUGGUUCGAAUCCAGUCAGCCCGA
Transfer RNA from Leptonema illini DSM 21528, 72 nucleotides. It matches the Rfam family "tRNA". Rfam says of the family: Transfer RNA (tRNA) molecules are approximately 80 nucleotides in length. Their secondary structure includes four short double-helical elements and three loops (D, anti-codon, and T loops). Further hydrogen bonds mediate the characteristic L-shaped molecular structure. tRNAs have two regions of fundamental functional importance: the anti-codon, which is responsible for specific mRNA codon recognition, and the 3' end, to which the tRNAs corresponding amino acid is attached (by aminoacyl-tRNA synthetases). tRNAs cope with the degeneracy of the genetic code in two manners: having more than one tRNA (with a specific anti-codon) for a particular amino acid; and 'wobble' base-pairing, i.e. permitting non-standard base-pairing at the 3rd anti-codon position. NCBI's taxonomy places the organism in Bacteria, Pseudomonadati, Spirochaetota, Leptospiria, Leptospirales, Leptospiraceae. The record is from Rfam.